Molecule: long non-coding RNA, 1564 nt
Organism: Chelonia mydas (Green sea turtle)
Lineage: Eukaryota; Metazoa; Chordata; Testudines; Cheloniidae
Exons: 4
Source: RefSeq, a predicted model, not a curated record
AAAAUAGAGUGAGAGAGACUGUUCUUAUCAGAUUACCAGUAUUUCCUGUCUAAGAAGCUUGAAUAGUUAAGCCUUCCUCUCUCAGGGACUUAAACAGAUUUCUGAAAAAGGAAAAGUAUCUAAAAAUCUUCACAGACAAGGUCAGCUCCCAGACUGCUGCACUGUGCAACACAGUAUGGGGAGGAGGACAGUCUGCUUAGAUAUCCCAAGUGUUUCAGCAUAAGACAGAAAGCCCAGAGGAUAUGCACAUAGUGUGGCAGCAGCAGUAUAUGGCAAUGCACUCUGGAACGGGUUACAGAGGCACCGUUAGGGGGUCUCAUUGACACUGAAAAGAAACCUGUUACCACCUGUUUAGAGGAAGAGAACCAUGCACCAGCCUAGGCUGCUGGCAAGGAUGACACGCUGUUAGCCACUAUGAUUAUUAAGUACUGCAUGAACCAUGUUGUGUGUGACCUAGCAUAUAUUUAGAGACAGCCUGUCACAAAUAGUGCAGUCAGCGUUGUAGUAGUGAAUGGCCAGUGAAAUGUCAGGGACACUGUUCUGUUAUUUCACUGAGUGAGGGUGGUUCUCUCCAGGAAAGGGCUGAGGGUGGGUCAGAUAGUGAGAACAAUUUGUUGGCAUUUCAUAUCCCAUUUUGAUUACUUACUACUUCCUUCCUGCAUUCGCUUUCCUGUAAGCAAUUUUUGUUUGCGUGACGUUUUGGGCGGGUGCUUGUAUUCAGGAGAAUGCAAUUAGCCAUUGCAUGCCGUUCUGUGUGUUUGUGCAAACCUGUGCAAACUCCAGCCCACAGACCCUAAGAGACAUUUGAAAUAUUGUGGUUGUCAUAUAGAACAUGGUGCUUAACAAUAUAACAUGGAAGGGACUGUUCCCAAAGCUCCAGGCUACAGGCACUAACAAGGGUGUGUGACUGCACCCUUCAUAGUUAGAUCUGUGUAAUAGCCCUAACCAGACCUUAGGCAGAGAGGAAAUGAAGUGGAAAAGAAGAAUCUGGCUGUCCCCUUCACAAUUAAGGGAGAGCUUGUCAUAUACACACGUAAUUAACUGGUGUGUAUGUUACAAGAGAACAUUAAAUCUAAAGUCUUCUGAAAACAUCCAAUAAAUCUUGCUUUGAGUUGUGUGUGUGUCUUUUAUGCUCUCUCAAUCUGGAUUAAACCCCACUAUUUUAAACACUUGGGUCCAGUUCAAGAGCCAGAAUAUAAUACACUGUUUUAUGUGAAAGGUCCUUGUUAAUUUUCCUAAACCUGUUUAUCUCCUGGCCCCCUCUCUUCUUCAAGGUUCUUGUACAUGCCCUGUGAGAAGCAGCAUCUCAGUGCAUGCUUGUUUGUUAUUUAUAAAGGGUUAGUCAUCCAAUUAACUGGAUGGGGUGGAGCCUAUUUUAAAAAAACCCACACAGCUUAGUUUUAAGGAGGUUGAUUUUUCUGCUUCCAAAUGAGACAUAUGACAGUGGCAGUAACAAGGAGAUGAAGCGAACUGACAAGAUUUCCAUUCUUUUUUUAAAAAAAAAAGUCAAUCUUUUUAUAUUUUAUACAUCUGUUACUUGAUUAUCAUUGUUUGGAUACCCAGC